UCCAUAGGUUAAUGAGGCGAACCGGGGGAACUGAAACAUCUAAGUACCCCGAGGAAAAGAAAUCAACCGAGAUUCCCCCAGUAGCGGCGAGCGAACGGGGAGGAGCCCAGAGCCUGAAUCAGCAUGUGUGUUAGUGGAAGCGUCUGGAAAGGCGCGCGAUACAGGGUGACAGCCCCGUACACAAAAGCGCAUGUGCUGUGAGCUCGAUGAGUAGGGCGGGACACGUGGUAUCCUGUCUGAAUAUGGGGGGACCAUCCUCCAAGGCUAAAUACUCCUGACUGACCGAUAGUGAACCAGUACCGUGAGGGAAAGGCGAAAAGAACCCCGGCGAGGGGAGUGAAAAAGAACCUGAAACCGUGUACGUACAAGCAGUGGGAGCACCCUUUGGGUGUGACUGCGUACCUUUUGUAUAAUGGGUCAGCGACUUAUAUUCUGUAGCAAGGUUAACCGAAUAGGGGAGCCGGAGGGAAACCGAGUCUUAAUUGGGCGUUAAGUUGCAGGGUAUAGACCCGAAACCCGGUGAUCUAGCCAUGGGCAGGUUGAAGGUUGGGUAACACUAACUGGAGGACCGAACCGACUAAUGUUGAAAAAUUAGCGGAUGACCUGUGGCUGGGGGUGAAAGGCCAAUCAAACCGGGAGAUAGCUGGUUCUCCCCGAAAGCUAUUUAGGUAGCGCCUCGUGAAUUCAUCUCCGGGGGUAGAGCACUGUUUCGGCUAGGGGGCCAUCCCGGCUUACCAACCCGAUGCAAACUGCGAAUACCGGAGAAUGUUAUCACGGGAGACACACGGCGGGUGCUAACGUCCGUCGUGAAGAGGGAAACAACCCAGACCGCCAGCUAAGGUCCCAAAGUCAUGGUUAAGUGGGAAACGAUGUGGGAAGGCCCAGACAGCCAGGAUGUUGGCUUAGAAGCAGCCAUCAUUUAAAGAAAGCGUAAUAGCUCACUGGUCGAGUCGGCCUGCGCGGAAGAUGUAACGGGGCUAAACCAUGCACCGAAGCUGCGGCAGCGACACUGUGUGUUGUUGGGUAGGGGAGCGUUCUGUAAGCCUGUGAAGGUGUGUCGUGAGGCAUGCUGGAGGUAUCAGAAGUGCGAAUGCUGACAUAAGUAACGAUAAAGCGGGUGAAAAGCCCGCUCGCCGGAAGACCAAGGGUUCCUGUCCAACGUUAAUCGGGGCAGGGUGAGUCGACCCCUAAGGCGAGGCCGAAAGGCGUAGUCGAUGGGAAACGGGUUAAUAUUCCCGUACUUGGUGUUACUGCGAAGGGGGGACGGAGAAGGCUAUGUUGGCCGGGCGACGGUUGUCCCGGUUUAAGCGUGUAGGCUGGUUUUCCAGGCAAAUCCGGAAAAUCAAGGCUGAGGCGUGA
Molecule: ribosomal RNA, 1359 nt
Filed under: Salmonella enterica subsp. enterica serovar Enteritidis
Lineage: Bacteria; Pseudomonadati; Pseudomonadota; Gammaproteobacteria; Enterobacterales; Enterobacteriaceae
Description: partial 23S ribosomal RNA
Rfam family: Bacterial large subunit ribosomal RNA
Source: RNAcentral